Molecule: unclassified non-coding RNA, 240 nt
Filed under: Xenopolyscytalum sp.
Lineage: Eukaryota; Fungi; Ascomycota; Leotiomycetes; Helotiales; Hamatocanthoscyphaceae
Description: partial contains 5.8S ribosomal RNA, internal transcribed spacer 2, and large subunit ribosomal RNA
Rfam family: 5.8S ribosomal RNA (bases 1-52)
Source: RNAcentral
AACGCACAUUGCGCCCUCUGGUAUUCCAGGGGGCAUGCCUGUUCGAGCGUCAUUACAACCCUCACGCCCUGCGUGGUAUUGGGCUCGCCCUCCAGGGCUUGCCUCAAAGUCAGUGGCGGCACCGUCUGACCCCUAAGCGUAGUAAUACACCUCGCUUUUGGACGCUAGAUGGAGGCUCGCCAUGAACCCCCCACUCUAUAGGUUGACCUCGGAUCAGGUAGGGAUACCCGCUGAACUUAA